Small nucleolar RNA from Monodelphis domestica (gray short-tailed opossum), 150 nucleotides. Ensembl annotates it as small nucleolar RNA, H/ACA box 57. Its record names the gene SNORA57. The record is from Ensembl. NCBI's taxonomy places the organism in Eukaryota, Metazoa, Chordata, Mammalia, Didelphimorphia, Didelphidae.
CCUCCAUUUCUUGGCGGAGGCCGGGUGCUUAGUCCUGGCCCCCGUUAUGUACGGAGGCAGAACAAGGGGACCCUGGGUCCCCCCGGCGUCAUGUCUUCGGUGCCGGCGGUUCCCCAUCCGCCGGUUCUAUCCUCAAUCGCCGGGACACCG